GCCGGGGUGGCGAAACUGGCAGACGCACAGGACUUAAAAUCCUGAGUUCCGCAAGGAACGUGCGGGUUCGAGUCCCGCCCUCGGCA
This 86-nucleotide transfer RNA is filed under the name Acidobacteriota bacterium. Its description in RNAcentral is "Acidobacteria bacterium tRNA-Leu". It matches the Rfam family "tRNA". From Rfam's summary of the family: Transfer RNA (tRNA) molecules are approximately 80 nucleotides in length. Their secondary structure includes four short double-helical elements and three loops (D, anti-codon, and T loops). Lineage: Bacteria; Pseudomonadati; Acidobacteriota. RNAcentral also lists the same sequence under 1 other name. The record is from RNAcentral.